UACGUAGGGUGCGAGCGUUGUCCGGAAUUAUUGGGCGUAAAGAGCUUGUAGGCGGUCUGUCGCGUCUGCUGUGAAAGUCCGGGGCUCAACCCCGGACUUGCAGUGGGUACGGGCAGACUAGAGUGUGGUAGGGGAGACUGGAAUUCCUGGUGUAGCGGUGAAAUGCGCAGAUAUCAGGAGGAACACCGAUGGCGAAGGCAGGUCUCUGGGCCACUACUGACGCUGAGAAGCGAAAGCAUGGGGAGCGAACAGG
This 253-nucleotide ribosomal RNA is filed under the name uncultured bacterium. RNAcentral describes it as "partial 16S ribosomal RNA". It matches the Rfam family "Bacterial small subunit ribosomal RNA", at positions 524 to 776 of the family's 1533-position model. The record is from RNAcentral.